Molecule: long non-coding RNA, 728 nt
Organism: Lineus longissimus
Lineage: Eukaryota; Metazoa; Nemertea; Pilidiophora; Heteronemertea; Lineidae
Exons: 3
Source: RefSeq, a predicted model, not a curated record
UCAAGGUCACCUACUUCCGCCAUUUUGCAAACUUAUCGAAAUUUUUGUUCUAUUUUGUCAAUUUUCACCGUUCCGAUGUGGUAUGAAAUAUUGCCAAGUUUCGGCAUCGUUUUAGGAUGCAUAACUAUGCCACUAGUAUUCAAUGCAGCCCUCAAUAAUUUAGUGCGAGGAAAGAAUUCUGUGAGAUGGUGGGACCUGGAUAACCGUGACUUCCACAUGUUUCUGCGCGAUCGACGGCUGACAGGCAAUGAAUACGUAGUCAAGGGUCUAGAAUCAUUGCCUGAUGAUGAUUAGGUUGAAUUUAUUCAGUGGGUAAAGACUGAUGACAUUUUUGUCAUAAAUCACCAUCAUUGAGACCAUUCAGCAAAAUAGAUGACCAAAAUAUCUUCUGGAAUACCGCAGGAUUUAGCAUUCAUUGGAUUAAAUAUAGUUCAGGUGUGUUUUCAGAAUAAGAAUAUUAACCUUCAGUGACAAAUGUUUGGAAAUAACAUCAACAUUUUGAGUGCAGUGACAGUCUCUGGAGUAGUCAGUCAAUCUUUGUACAAGCCUACAAUAACUUCGAUACAUGCACAUCCAAUAUCGCAUCAAAAACGUAUGAAAAGAAGUGACAAACAUAAUUUAAAAAAAUAAAUUCCCAUCCCAAUGUUUCUAGUGUCUCAUAUAUUGUAUAUAUUAUGCAUAGUUUUGUUUUCAUGGUGAAUAAAUUGUAAUUUAAAUGUUAGAAAAUA